RNAcentral lists this ribosomal RNA (263 nucleotides) under uncultured bacterium. RNAcentral describes it as "partial 16S ribosomal RNA". It matches the Rfam family "Bacterial small subunit ribosomal RNA", at positions 524 to 786 of the family's 1533-position model. The record is from RNAcentral.
UACGUAGGGGACAAGCGUUGUCCGGAAUCACUGGGCGUAAAGGGCGCGUAGGCGGUUUUAUAAGUCAGAUGUGAAAGGUACCGGCUCAACCGGUGACGUGCAUUUGAAACUGUAAGACUUGAGUACUGGAGAGGCAAGUGGAAUUCCUAGUGUAGCGGUGAAAUGCGUAGAUAUUAGGAGGAACACCGGUGGCGAAGGCGGCUUGCUGGACAGAUACUGACGCUGAGGUGCGAAAGCGUGGGGAGCGAACAGGAUUAGAUACC